UCAUGUUGCUGUGUGUUUCUCGGUGUGCCUUGGUUUCCUUGUGUUUUCUCAUCUCUUCUACAUCGCUGAAGAAGUGGAUGGAUUUUUUUCACAUCACUACGGUGGAAUCUCUCCACCUCCACGUCGCUGCAGCAUCAGCAGCUGAACUCUCCGAGUCCUGUUUGCCUGUUGGCUGAAAAGCUGCAGCCAGGGUUCAAAGAAAGCAGUCAUCUGGAAUAUGUGGUGUGGAGUGGAUCUUGUUGUUUGCGUGUCUCUGUGAAAAGAAACGACUGACUGACAUCCACAAGAGGAUGAUGAUGGACAAAGAGGAGAACAGAGCAGAGUCCGGUGAACCUAGACCAACGAGGUCAGAGAACUGAAGUCACUGAGUUAACAGUAAUAAUUCUAAACUGACAUUAUAAUUAGUGUUGAGUGUGGUUGAUUUUGACUGGGU
This is a long non-coding RNA of Oreochromis aureus, 433 nucleotides long. Lineage: Eukaryota; Metazoa; Chordata; Actinopteri; Cichliformes; Cichlidae. The record is from Ensembl.